Molecule: microRNA precursor, 101 nt
Filed under: Chlorocebus sabaeus (green monkey)
Lineage: Eukaryota; Metazoa; Chordata; Mammalia; Primates; Cercopithecidae
Description: miRNA (ENSCSAG00000026766.1)
Source: RNAcentral
UGAGGCAGGAGAAUUGCUUGAACCCAGGAGGUGGAGGUUGCAGUAAGCCGAGAUCGUGCCACUGCACUCCAGCCUGGGCGACACAGCAAGACUCCGUCUCA